Molecule: ribosomal RNA, 867 nt
Filed under: Chryseobacterium sp. GUAF 6043
Lineage: Bacteria; Pseudomonadati; Bacteroidota; Flavobacteriia; Flavobacteriales; Weeksellaceae
Description: bacterial SSU rRNA
Rfam family: Bacterial small subunit ribosomal RNA
Source: RNAcentral
UUUGAAUCCUGGCUCAGGAUGAACGCUAGCGGGAGGCCUAACACAUGCAAGCCGAGCGGUAUGGUUCUUUCGGGAACCAGAGAGCGGCGUACGGGUGCGGAACACGUGUGCAACCUGCCUUUAUCUGGGGGAUAGCCUUUCGAAAGGAAGAUUAAUACCCCAUAAUAUUUAGAAUGGCAUCAUUUUAAAUUGAAAACUCCGGUGGAUAGAGAUGGGCACGCGCAAGAUUAGAUAGUUGGUGGGGUAACGGCCUACCAAGUCAGUGAUCUUUAGGGGGCCUGAGAGGGUGAUCCCCCACACUGGUACUGAGACACGGACCAGACUCCUACGGGAGGCAGCAGUGAGGAAUAUUGGACAAUGGGUGCAAGCCUGAUCCAGCCAUCCCGCGUGAAGGACGACGGCCCUAUGGGUUGUAAACUUCUUUUGUACAGGGAUAAACCCAGAUACGUGUAUCUGGCUGAAGGUACUGUACGAAUAAGCACCGGCUAACUCCGUGCCAGCAGCCGCGGUAAUACGGAGGGUGCAAGCGUUAUCCGGAUUUAUUGGGUUUAAAGGGUCCGUAGGCGGAUCAGUAAGUCAGUGGUGAAAUCUCAUAGCUUAACUAUGAAACUGCCAUUGAUACUGCUGGUCUUGAGUAAGGUAGAAGUAGCUGGAAUAAGUAUUGUAGCGGUGAAAUGCAUAGAUAUUACUUAGAACACCAAUUGCGAAGGCAGGUUACUAUGUCUUUAACUGACGCUGAUGGACGAAAGCGUGGGGAGCGAACAGGAUUAAAUACCCUGGUAGUCCACGCUGUAAACGAUGCUUACUCGUUUUUGGGCCUUCGGGUUCAGAGACUAAGCGAAAGUGAUAAGUUAGCCACCUGGGGAG